This 457-nucleotide ribosomal RNA is filed under the name uncultured Pseudomonas sp. RNAcentral's name for it is "bacterial SSU rRNA". It matches the Rfam family "Bacterial small subunit ribosomal RNA", at positions 342 to 791 of the family's 1533-position model. Lineage: Bacteria; Pseudomonadati; Pseudomonadota; Gammaproteobacteria; Pseudomonadales; Pseudomonadaceae. The record is from RNAcentral.
CGGGGGGCAGCAGUGGGGAAUAUUGGACAAUGGGCGAAAGCCUGAUCCAGCCAUGCCGCGUGUGUGAAGAAGGUCUUCGGAUUGUAAAGCACUUUAAGUUGGGAGGAAGGGUUGUAGAUUAAUACUCUGCAAUUUUGACGUUACCGACAGAAUAAGCACCGGCUAACUCUGUGCCAGCAGCCGCGGUAAUACAGAGGGUGCAAGCGUUAAUCGGAAUUACUGGGCGUAAAGCGCGCGUAGGUGGUUUGUUAAGUUGGAUGUGAAAUCCCCGGGCUCAACCUGGGAACUGCAUUCAAAACUGACUGACUAGAGUAUGGUAGAGGGUGGUGGAAUUUCCUGUGUAGCGGUGAAAUGCGUAGAUAUAGGAAGGAACACCAGUGGCGAAGGCGACCACCUGGACUGAUACUGACACUGAGGUGCGAAAGCGUGGGGAGCAAACAGGAUUAGAUACCCGCGU